GCCUACCUCUCGUCGUCGCCGGAGCCCGGGAACCAUAUCCCUUCUGUUCCGUAACAAGACCAAAUUGCCCUUGCGUGCUGGGUUUCCUCAGUUGGAGCCACCGAAAAUAUCGAGCCCCACAAGGUGUCACGAAGUCAUUAGUCGGGCCGAAAUCGACGCAGUUGGGCAUCAUGGGCUCAAGUACUGAAAGAUAGCUGGGCCGUAAUGAAUGACCACGUACAAGUCCAAGGAAUUAUAUCGAUCGAUCAUGAUUGAAGGCGCAAAGUCGUAUGACACAAUUUUUUGGUUUGAUCUCACCACUCACCAAUGCUAUUAUGGAAUGAAAUGGUAAGCUCGCGCUUAUUGCCAUUCGAGCCUGAGUUUUUUU
Zea mays is the source of this 367-nucleotide long non-coding RNA. RefSeq lists it as uncharacterized. The transcript is spliced from 2 exons. NCBI's taxonomy places the organism in Eukaryota, Viridiplantae, Streptophyta, Magnoliopsida, Poales, Poaceae. The record is from RefSeq and is a predicted model, not a curated record.